Long non-coding RNA from Pelobates fuscus (common spadefoot toad), 215 nucleotides. RefSeq lists it as uncharacterized. The transcript has 3 exons. The record is from RefSeq and is a predicted model, not a curated record. Lineage: Eukaryota; Metazoa; Chordata; Amphibia; Anura; Pelobatidae.
AUUUCUACUGCAACCUCAAAAUCUUCUUCGAUGACAACAUUCCAAGAAAUACCUUCCCAAAAUAAUGGUUCUGGAUCACCUGCACUGAGUGACAUAGAAACUGAUCGAUAUCCUGAUCAAGGCAAAGUGGACCAGACACAAUCUAACAACAGUACUCAUAGAGAAGGUGGAUAUCCAACAGUGGCCAUUGUUCUUACAGUUUGCAUUCUUCUGGC